GCCCGGUUGGUGUAGCGGUAACACAACUAGCCUCAUGAUGUAGGGCCGCGGAAGGGCCUGCUGAGAUAGCUUGUGAGUCCUUGGUUCGAAUCCAAGACUGGGCG
Molecule: non-coding RNA, 104 nt
Organism: Coniochaeta pulveracea
Lineage: Eukaryota; Fungi; Ascomycota; Sordariomycetes; Coniochaetales; Coniochaetaceae
Source: the annotation of a GenBank genome assembly